GAUGAAGAACGUAGCGAAAUGCGAUAAGUAAUGUGAAUUGCAGAAUUCAGUGAAUCAUCGAAUCUUUGAACGCACAUUGCGCCCGCCAGUAUUAUGGCGGGCAUGCCUGUCUGAGCGUCAUUUCAACCCUCAUGCCCCUAGGGCGUGGUGUUGGGGAUCGGCCAAAGCCCGCGAGGGACGGCCGGCCCCUAAAUCUAGUGGCGGACCCGUCGUGGCCUCCUCUGCGAAGUAGUGAUAUUCCGCAUCGGAGAGCGAUGAGCCCCUGCCGUUAAACCCCCAACUUUCCAAGGUUGACCUCAGAUCAGGUAGGAAUACCCGCUGAACUUAAGCAUAUCAAUAAGCGGAGGA
Molecule: unclassified non-coding RNA, 348 nt
Filed under: soil metagenome
Description: partial contains 5.8S ribosomal RNA, internal transcribed spacer 2, and large subunit ribosomal RNA
Rfam family: 5.8S ribosomal RNA (bases 1-120)
Source: RNAcentral